GAUGAACGCUGGCGGCGUGCCUAAUACAUGCAAGUCGAGCGAACAGACGAGGAGCUUGCUCCUCUGACGUUAGCGGCGGACGGGUGAGUAACACGUGGAUAACCUACCUAUAAGACUGGGAUAACUUCGGGAAACCGGAGCUAAUACCGGAUAAUAUAUUGAACCGCAUGGUUCAAUAGUGAAAGACGGUUUUGCUGUCACUUAUAGAUGGAUCCGCGCCGCAUUAGCUAGUUGGUAAGGUAACGGCUUACCAAGGCAACGAUGCGUAGCCGACCUGAGAGGGGGAUCGGCCACACUGGAACUGAGACACGGUCCAGACUCCGACGGGAGGCAGCAGUAGGGAAUCUUCCGCAAUGGGCGAAAGCCUGACGGAGCAACGCCGCGUGAGUGAUGAAGGUCUUCGGAUCGUAAAACGCUGUUAUUAGGGAAGAACAAAUGUGUAAGUAACUAUGCACGUCUGGACGGUACCUAAUCAGAAAGCCACGGCUAACUACGU
RNAcentral lists this ribosomal RNA (496 nucleotides) under uncultured bacterium. RNAcentral's name for it is "partial 16S ribosomal RNA". It matches the Rfam family "Bacterial small subunit ribosomal RNA", at positions 28 to 506 of the family's 1533-position model. The record is from RNAcentral.